GCGGGAUUAGUACACCGGUAGUACACGUCCUUCCCAAGGAUGAAAAGCGGGUUCGACUCCCGUAUCCCGCU
This 71-nucleotide transfer RNA is filed under the name Candidatus Collierbacteria bacterium CG17_big_fil_post_rev_8_21_14_2_50_45_7. RNAcentral describes it as "tRNA-Gly". It matches the Rfam family "tRNA". From Rfam's summary of the family: Transfer RNA (tRNA) molecules are approximately 80 nucleotides in length. Their secondary structure includes four short double-helical elements and three loops (D, anti-codon, and T loops). Lineage: Bacteria; Candidatus Collieribacteriota. The record is from RNAcentral.